GACGGAGGGUGCUAGCGUUGUUCGGAUUUACUGGGCGUAAAGCGCACGUAGGCGGGUCGUUAAGUCAGGGGUGAAAUCCCGGAGCUCAACUCCGGAACUGCCUUUGAUACUGGCGACCUUGAGGCCGGAAGAGGUUAGUGGAAUUCCCAGUGUAGAGGUGAAAUUCGUAGAUAUUGGGAAGAACACCAGUGGCGAAGGCGGCUAACUGGUCCGGAUCUGACGCUGAGGUGCGAGAGCGUGGGGAGCAAACGGG
This 253-nucleotide ribosomal RNA is filed under the name uncultured bacterium. RNAcentral describes it as "partial 16S ribosomal RNA". It matches the Rfam family "Bacterial small subunit ribosomal RNA", at positions 524 to 776 of the family's 1533-position model. The record is from RNAcentral.